Molecule: ribosomal RNA, 305 nt
Filed under: uncultured bacterium
Lineage: Bacteria
Description: bacterial SSU rRNA
Rfam family: Bacterial small subunit ribosomal RNA
Source: RNAcentral
UGAGUCCUACGGGAGGCAGCAGUGAGGAAUAUUGGUCAAUGGGCGCGAGCCUGAACCAGCCAAGUCGCGUGAGGGAUGACGGCCCUACGGGUUGUAAACCUCUUUUGCCGGGGAGCAACGGGCGCCACGUGUGGCGCCACUGAGAGUACCCGGAGAAAAAGCAUCGGCUAACUCCGUGCCAGCAGCCGCGGUAAUACGGAGGAUGCGAGCGUUAUCCGGAUUUAUUGGGUUUAAAGGGUGCGUAGGCGGAUCGUUAAGUCAGUUGUGAAAGUUUGCGGCUCAACCGUAAAAUUGCAAUUGAUACU